RNAcentral lists this ribosomal RNA (492 nucleotides) under uncultured bacterium. RNAcentral's name for it is "partial 16S ribosomal RNA". It matches the Rfam family "Bacterial small subunit ribosomal RNA", at positions 29 to 507 of the family's 1533-position model. The record is from RNAcentral.
AGUGAACGCUGGCGGUAGGCCUAACACAUGCAAGUCGAACGGCAGCACAGUAAGAGCUUGCUCUUACGGGUGGCGAGUGGCGGACGGGUGAGGAAUACAUCGGAAUCUACUUUUUCGUGGGGGAUAACGUAGGGAAACUUACGCUAAUACCGCAUACGACCUACGGGUGAAAGCAGGAGAUCUUCGGACCUUGCGCGAUUGAAUGAGCCGAUGUCGGAUUAGCUAGUUGGCGGGGUAAAGGCCCACCAAGGCGACGAUCCGUAGCUGGUCUGAGAGGAUGAUCAGCCACACUGGAACUGAGACACGGUCCAGACUCCUACGGGAGGCAGCAGUGGGGAAUAUUGGACAAUGGGCGCAAGCCUGAUCCAGCCAUACCGCGUGGGUGAAGAAGGCCUUCGGGUUGUAAAGCCCUUUUGUUGGGAAAGAAAAGCAGCAGGUUAAUACCCCGCUGUUCUGACGGUACCCAAAGAGUAAGCACCGGCUAACUUCGUG